GUACACUAGGGAUCCGAAGAAGGGUUGAAGUAAGCUUUGAGGGGCAACACUGCGAGCGGCUUAUCACUAUCAUCAUCUGGGAGGUCCUAGCGUAAAAAGGGUGAGUUCCAUGAAACUCAGUAAGAGAAAUAGUAUUAAGAUUAUACUGCUAAGGUUUUAAAGGUUAUUAGCCUCAAAUAAAUAUGCUUACCCAAUAAAUACAUACCUCGAAGAUCCAUGGU
RNAcentral lists this long non-coding RNA (221 nucleotides) under Carica papaya (papaya). RNAcentral describes it as "long non-coding RNA (CPAP_LNC012500)". The record is from RNAcentral. Lineage: Eukaryota; Viridiplantae; Streptophyta; Magnoliopsida; Brassicales; Caricaceae.